GCCAGGUGUGGUGGCGCACACCUGUAGUCCCAGCUACUCAGGAGGCUGAGACAGGAGAAUCACUUGAACCCAGGAGGUGGAGGUUGCAGUGAGCCAAGAUCGUGCCACUGCACUCCAGCCUCGGUGACAAAGUGAGACUCUGUCUCCA
Molecule: unclassified non-coding RNA, 148 nt
Organism: Papio anubis (olive baboon)
Lineage: Eukaryota; Metazoa; Chordata; Mammalia; Primates; Cercopithecidae
Rfam family: Metazoan signal recognition particle RNA
About the family: The signal recognition particle (SRP) is a universally conserved ribonucleoprotein.
Source: Ensembl